CUUUUAACAACGGAUCUCUUGGUUCCAACAUCGAUGAAGAACGCAGCGAAAUGCGAUAGCUAGUGUGAAUUGCAGAUUUACGUGAAUCAUCGAGUCUUUGAACGCACAUUGCGCCCCUCGGUUCUCCGGGGGGCAUGUCUGUCCGAGCGUCGUCU
RNAcentral lists this ribosomal RNA (155 nucleotides) under Acrospermum graminum. RNAcentral describes it as "Acrospermum gramineum partial 5.8S ribosomal RNA". It matches the Rfam family "5.8S ribosomal RNA". Rfam says of the family: 5.8S ribosomal RNA (5.8S rRNA) is a component of the large subunit of the eukaryotic ribosome. It is transcribed by RNA polymerase I as part of the 45S precursor that also contains 18S and 28S rRNA. Lineage: Eukaryota; Fungi; Ascomycota; Dothideomycetes; Acrospermales; Acrospermaceae. The record is from RNAcentral.